AGAGAGAUACAUAGCCAGAAUAAUUUUUUGAAUUAACACCAGCUCCAUUCUCAAGCAACAAUGCAACAAUCUAGAAAAAUCAAGACAUUGCAAAAUAUGGCCAAAUUUUGUUUGAAGAGGAAUGCAAAGUUCCGAAAUCUGAGCUAAAUAACACAAAAAUUGAAGUGCAAUGCUAAUGAGUGAGAUGCAUGUAUGUAUGCUUACAAUCUGCAUCUGUUU
RNAcentral lists this long non-coding RNA (219 nucleotides) under Lathyrus oleraceus (garden pea). RNAcentral describes it as "Pisum sativum (pea) long non-coding RNA (PSAT_LNC023586)". Lineage: Eukaryota; Viridiplantae; Streptophyta; Magnoliopsida; Fabales; Fabaceae. The record is from RNAcentral.